GGCUCAGGAUGAACGCUAGCUACAGGCUUAACACAUGCAAGUCGAGGGGCAGCAUGGACAUAGCUUGCUAUGUUUGAUGGCGACCGGCGCACGGGUGCGUAACACGUAUCCAAUCUGCCCGUUACUCGGGGAUAGCCUUCUGAAAGGAAGAUUAAUACCCGAUGGCAUGUAUUUCCGGCAUCGGAGAUACAUUAAAGAUUUAUCGGUAACGGAUGAGGAUGCGUACGAUUAGCUUGUUGGCGGGGUAACGGCCCACCAAGGCGACGAUCGUUAGGGGUUCUGAGAGGAAGGUCCCCCACACUGGAACUGAGACACGGUCCAGACUCCUACGGGAGGCAGCAGUGAGGAAUAUUGGUCAAUGGAGGCAACUCUGAACCAGCCAAGUAGCGUGCAGGAUGACGGCCCUCUGGGUUGUAAACUGCUUUUAGUUGGGAAUAAAAAGAGGGACGUGUCCCUAAUUGUAUGUACCAUCAGAAAAAGGACCGGCUAAUUCCGUG
Molecule: ribosomal RNA, 497 nt
Filed under: uncultured bacterium
Lineage: Bacteria
Description: bacterial SSU rRNA
Rfam family: Bacterial small subunit ribosomal RNA
Source: RNAcentral